This is a long non-coding RNA of Antechinus flavipes (yellow-footed antechinus), 2856 nucleotides long. RefSeq lists it as uncharacterized. The record is from RefSeq and is a predicted model, not a curated record. The transcript has 2 exons. NCBI's taxonomy places the organism in Eukaryota, Metazoa, Chordata, Mammalia, Dasyuromorphia, Dasyuridae.
UCAAGUGAGACCUUGACAAGAAUCUGCUUGGUUUCGCUCUUCUUUCUCGCCCGUUUCUCUUUCAGGCUGGGUUCUCCUCGACCCCCCGAAUAACUGAAUCCCGCGGGACGGGACAAGAGUGCAAGGAUGAAAUGUUUCUUGUCAUCAUCUAAGGGCAUCUGAUGUAGCCGAUUCAAUCCAUUCCUUUCUCUUUUUUUGUUUUUUUGGCGCUGCAACGAGAACCUUUGAGGUCUCCUCCCUUCUCCCCCACCUUUCAUUUAGCUUCAACUUCCUUUUGUCUAAUAGUUUCAUUUAUGACAAAAUCAGUCGAGAUAGGUAUGCUUCGAGUCCUUCAAAACCUUGACAGUCUGUUGCUUACAGAGAUCUCACAUUUGGAGGAUGUGCAUUUCAGUCAAUUUUCCCGAUGGGGUCAAAAUGUUAUGCCUACUUUGCCAACCUAUCACUGUUUUUAAUUCUACUAUUUUCUCUCUUUGUUUUGACAGCAAUUAAAAUUUUAAAAAAUCAUAAACUUCCUUUAUUCGUUAACUAACAACUCUGAAAAAUGAUCUCCCAAACUCCAUUUCCAACUCCCAAACUCUGCUCUUUGUCAUUCAGCCAACGGAGUAGAAUGGAACAGGAUUUGUCACUGAGCCUAGGAAUGUGUUCCCUAACCACCCAAAUCUUAGUAAACUCCUUGAGGGAAGGAACUUAGAAAACUUGAGGCAAAUACAAAACUUUAGGAACUAUUAAAGAAAGACGACAAAGACCCUUCUCUUACAAAGAGAAAGGGCUAAAGACAGAUGUUGGAGAGGGAAGCUUCACUUUACACCUCUGCAAAACUAGGGGUUUUACCCGAUGACCUCCGAGGGCCUCUCCAUCUCUACAUCUGAGAUGGUGUAGCAUACUUGCUUUAGGAUUUGGAAAAGCCAGUUAGUUUAGGCUUUGUUAUUGCUCUCACCCGGCGAACGUAGUAGUCUGUUCUUCAGGCUUCCCGGGUUCCACCCUCUCGGAUCAGGCCUGCUGCUAAAACAAUUUUCCAGAAGCAGGAUGUCUGCCCAAGCCUCUUCGUAGAGAAUCUUCCGGGACCCGGUGGUGGGGACUUAAUGAAUGCCUGUCAAAUCUUUGCUUCCUCCGCUCGGCCCCUGCACCCCGCACCCAAAAACUGCAAGCUCAGCCCCAGACAGUUCAGUUCCCGCGCGCCCUGCAUCGCCAAGUCCGGCUCGUGUAAGGGGGAAAAAAAAAAACUUUCCAAGCUUCUAGCCUCAGUUCGCGGUGCCCUUUGGAGAAAAAGGGAAUGCUCCAGGUGAGGAUCGAACUCACAACCUCGGCAUUUCUCGCCCGAUAGUACUGCUGUAUAAGUACCGCGCGCUAACCGAUUGCGCCACUGGAGCCACAAAAGCCUCUCUCUUCGCCCCCUUCACCAGCCAGACGCCUCACUAGCACCCGGCUCUUCCAGACCCAAUGUCGCUCCACACGCCGCCGCUCCGGACCUCAGAAUCCGUGCCGCGACCCAAGAAGCGUCCGCUCAAUAGCUUCGCGGGCCACGAGCCCUACAGGAUCUUAGACCAAGGGAGAGGGACGGGGAAACGGCCAGCCUCCCAGCUGCUUCCCGCCCCUCUGCCGCCUACACCCGCACCACUGCCACGCCUUGCCCACCCGAGGCAGACCGGGAACAGCCAAGGCAACCACUUCUCUGUCACCCAGGGAAACGUCUCUCUCCUCACAGAGCUUCCACAUCCAUUCCGUUCGCCUCCUCAGAGAGACCGACGCAGGCCCUCCACUCCCUCACCCGACCAGCAGGUGUACCCAGCGCACGAGCCGCGAGGAAAAGGAGAUAGAGGAAAGGUUUCUUCCCACCCUUUGCUUUGGAGAACGCGAACGGCCCCGAGAGGCCAGGAGGAAUCACUUGACCACGAAUCUUUCCCUGAUAUUGCAUCUUUCUUUCGUUCUUUUUAAAAACUUUCUUUCAGAAAACAGAGCAAAUAGAUGAGACUUAAAAGCAAAUCGUCCCAGACGUCAAAGACGCGGGUCUCCCCGUGUGUUUCCACCCGCGCUUCCUCAGUUAAUGGCUGACUGCCAAAUCCCGGGCCCUGUGGCCCUUCAGCUUCCUAUGUAGUGUCCCUUGCUUGCUUCCUCCACCCCCCGUUCCCGCCCCGUUCGCUCUUGUCUUGUCCUGUCUCCACCCCCAGCCCCAAUUGUGGAAUUUCUAAGAAGUGUAGGACGGACGUCCUCCUCAUCAACUCCCUCCUUCACCCGAUGUUUUCCACCUAACUUUCAAGAUCCUCCACGAUCUGUUGCUACCCCGAUAUUGCCGCUUUCUCACCCCACCCUAAGUAUUCAGCAAACACUGGCGUCUUGCAGGGCACGACAGCGACACAGCGCUCGGCGCUGCGGCCCGGAUGGAGUCAGCGAGACUGUGGUGGAUGGGUGGUUGUCCUUGGUCCUGGAAGAGGAUCAAAAUGACGUUUCCACAUGGGAGUCGAGGUACAGUGACUGAUCUCGUGACUGCUCAGAGCGAUGGGAGCCGGGAAAACUGCCCCACAGGUCGGCCCCAUGGGUCCCAGCAACAUGUGGAGCGGACCUGUCUUGCGCGAGUUCUCCGUGAAUAAACAAUCUUUGAGGCAACCCAAAAAAUGUUUGCCAUUCGAACAAGGUGGCCAGCCGCGGAGUUGCUCUCUCUGAGGCACGUAGUUUCUCAAUACUUGACAGUUCAGCCAAAGGAGGUCCUGGUGUCUGACACCUUCUCCAGCCAGGUGGUGGAAGGUAGUCUUCUACAAGGUAGUCGUGGCCGAGUGGUUAAGGCGAUGGACUUGAAAUCCAUUGGGGUUUCCCCGCGCAGGUUCGAAUCCUGCCGACUACGGUGGUGUAGUUUUAAAA